Molecule: small nuclear RNA, 106 nt
Organism: Otolemur garnettii (small-eared galago)
Lineage: Eukaryota; Metazoa; Chordata; Mammalia; Primates; Galagidae
Source: Ensembl
ACUAAGUCCAAGCCCAGUGCUCCCUAAAAUUGGAAUGAUACAGAGAAGAUUAGCAUGGCCCCUGCACAAGGAUGACACACAAAUUCAUGAAGCAUUCCAUAUUAAA